AUGGUCGGCAUGAUAGAUUCGAGGAGAUCUCGGUUUAAUCGGGGUCGCUCUAAGAGUGACAUUUUUGUUAUGGCAUUCCCCUCAGCUGAACUUGAUGGUGCCCCAAAAAUGUGGUCGAUUUAUGCUCGGGCUCUUUAGAGGGUGGUGCAGGCCAGGCAUUAUUGUUCCUAAUCCUUACCUUGGUGGGUUGGCGAGGUAGUUCCAGUGACAAUGCUCGAGAAGAAUUUUGAGGUUUUGGUAAGCCUCACUUCUUUUCGAAUUGGCUGAGGAAGGAGUCGCUGAUGAUGAUCAGGAUGAUGCCAGGGCAGGAAGAGGUUCCGUACUUUUAACUCUUUUGAAUGCAGGGAUAGUGGCAGGUGAUUUCGGUUGAUCUUUUCUUUUCGUCUCCUCCACCUUUGUUGGAUUGAACAUCAUUUCUGUAGUAGAUAUAUAUUUUAGAACAUUGAAGAUAAAAAAGAGAGAAGUUAAAAAAAUAAAACACUCCGAUCUUACCCCGAGGAGAGUACAGACUGAUUCUGACAUCGUACAAUGUCUGAUCAUUUAUCAAAGUAGAGAGCUUGGGUGUUUUGGUGGUGAUCAAGGUUGAAUGAGCCACCUCAUCCCUGGAGAGAAUUUCAUUAUGAGAAUUAUAUUUGGUAUCCGGAUGCUCCCAUGAAGUUCUAAAACCCCAGGGAAUAAGAGUCCGGACAAAGAAGAAACGGCCUUUCCAUCCAUGAAUGGAAGAAGGAAGGCUGGGUUUGAAUUUACAGCCCUUC
This 755-nucleotide long non-coding RNA is filed under the name Elaeis guineensis (African oil palm). Its description in RNAcentral is "long non-coding RNA (EGUI_LNC054588)". Lineage: Eukaryota; Viridiplantae; Streptophyta; Magnoliopsida; Arecales; Arecaceae. The record is from RNAcentral.